RNAcentral lists this ribosomal RNA (382 nucleotides) under uncultured eukaryote. RNAcentral describes it as "partial 18S ribosomal RNA". It matches the Rfam family "Eukaryotic small subunit ribosomal RNA", at positions 592 to 976 of the family's 1831-position model. The record is from RNAcentral.
UGUAAGCGUAUACCAAAGUUGUUGCAGUUAAAACGCUCGUAGUCGGAAUUUGGCAGUUCCGGAAGUGUGCACGUCGUGUGCGCACUUUGCGGGGACUGCUUUUGUGGUCUUGCGUAGGAUGAGGCACUUUCAUUAGUGAACGUCCUCACGCAACCACUCUUUACUGUGAGAAAAUCAGAGUGCUCAAAGCAGGCAUUUGCCGUGAAUGUAUUAGCAUGGAAUAAUAGAAUAGGACUCGGUUCUAUUUUGUUGGUUUGUUGGGACUGAGUAAUGAUUAAGAGGGACAGUUGGGGGCAUUUGUAUUCCGGCGCUAGAGGUGAAAUUCUUAAAUUGCCGGAAGACAAACUGCUGCGAAAGCGUCUGCCAAGGAUGUUUUCAUUGA